UGGCCUUGUUGGAGGAAGUGUGCCACUGUGGAGACAGGCUUUGAGGUCUUAUAUAUGCUCAAGCCACAUCCAUUGUCUCAGUUUACUUCUUGUUGCCUGCAUAUCAAGAUGUAAAAACCUCAGCUCCUUCUCCAGCACCAUGUCUGUCUGCAUGCCGCCAUGUCCCACCAUGAUGAUAAUGGACUGAACCUCUGAACUGUAGAUAACUGAGGCACAGAAUUGAUCCCUGUCUGCGGGAGGAUGCAUGGCUGACAGAUAACAAGAGCUGGCAUGUCAACCCAGGUUGUGUGGUCCCAUAGCUCGUAUCUUCUAUUGUGAUUACCUUGCAUUUCUUAAGUGGUUCUGGAUGGAUAAUCCAUUUGUUUUCAUCUUUCUGAAGUCUCCUUCAACUGAUAUGUUCAGAUGCCAAGGCGCUGGGUGACACUAACCAGGCAAGAUGAACCCAUUCAUGCAAUAGUGGAAAGUGUUUUAUGGGGGUGUGAUGGUUUGAAUAAGAAUGGCCCCCAUCAGCUCAUAGAUUUGAAUGCUUGCUCACCAGGGCGUGGCACUAUUUGAAAGGACUAGAAGGUGUGGCCUUGUUGGAGGAAGUAUGUCACUGGGGGAACCCAAGCCAUCCCCAAUGGCAUUUUGUUCUUGUUGCCUGUGGAUCUCAGCUACUUCUCUAGCACCGUGUCUGCCUGUGUGCUGUCAUGCUCCCCACCAUGAUGGUAAUGGACUAAACCUCUGAAACUGGUCUGGAAUGAAGGGUUAAUUAUCUGACAACCUCAGGUGGGCUGAGCAACUCUGGAAAAGAAAGCUGAGUUGACUGACAACACCUGUGAAAACUUCUAAUCAGGAGACCCACAUAGCAAGCCAGCUGGGAUCAACCACUUCCACAUUGCAGGGGAACUGAGCUGCAGACGGACUCUUCUAUGCUCACAUUUCCCCCUUUUCCAUCCUAUAAAACCCCAACACCACCGAUGCCACUUGUGCAUUGUCUCCAUUCCAUAGAGAGUCUGUGGCUUUUCAGUCAUUCUGACUAAAAGACGAUUCUUCUUCUAGAAAUGACGGUCUGCUUUUAUUUCCAUACCACCUCCAUCAAAACCAAUUGUAUUGGCUGCUUUUGUGUGUCAACUUGACACAAGCUAGAGUCUUCAGAGAGGAAGGAGCCUCAGUUAAGGAAAUGCCUCCUUGAGAUUCAGCAUUUUCUCAUUUAGUGAUCAGUGGGGAAGGUCUCAGCCCAUGGUGGAUGGUGCCAUCUCUAGGCAGCUGGUCCUGGGUUCUAUAAGAAAACAGGCUGGGCAAACCAUUGGAAGCAAGCCAGUAAGCAGCCAUGGCCUCUGUAUCAGCUCCUGCCUCCAGGAUCCUGCCCUGUUUGAGUGCCUGUGCUGACUUCCUUCAGUGAUAAACAACAAUGCUGAAGUGUAAGCCAAAUAAACCCUUUCCACCCCAACUUGCUUUUUGGUCAUGGUGUUUUGUUGCAGCAGGGGAAACCAGAACUAAGAUGCCAAUCUAACAUCCUCCUAACAACUUCUAGUUCUUAGAGGUCUUCCA
This 1533-nucleotide long non-coding RNA is filed under the name Cricetulus griseus (Chinese hamster). RNAcentral's name for it is "lncRNA (ENSCGRG00015039183.1)". The record is from RNAcentral. Lineage: Eukaryota; Metazoa; Chordata; Mammalia; Rodentia; Cricetidae.